UUCCUGAUUCAGUGAGUUUUUUAAAUCACUUACUGCACUUGAGACCAGCCUCUGAUUGAAACGUCUGCUGGAGUCGGAGCGGCCACUUCUGGGAAGCGAGGGCGCAAGCAAAGAGAGCUGGUGGCAGCUGGGACUAGAUCAUCUGUGCUGCCUGGACAAAGACCAUGGGACAUUUCAGUUGUUUAUCAGGGAUUUGGAUUAGAAGAGACCAGUCUCUUCCAGGACAUCAAGCAGAGGCAGCGAGAGGUUUUGCCCAGAGAAGCUUCCUUUGAAGACAGGAGCAACUUCUUCUGAGACAGACCAUUGGGGACAUACUGGAAGCAAUAGCUGUGACUGGUGGGUAAGGGAGAAUUCGCACCAGCAUCACUAGGGACACACUUACCUCUUUCCUGCUAUCUUACAAAUCGCAGAUGUUUCCCCAAAAUAGAAAAAGACUGUUGUGUUUGCCCCUGGGAUAUAUGUCCUGUUACAAAUUUCUCUGUGGAAAAGGGGGAAACACCCCGUGCCAUGAUUCUUCUGCGGAUGUGCUAAUUCACGGGGUUUAGGAACAGUAUUGCUUCCUGGAUUUAGGGGGGUUGAUUUCAUUGAAACUUAGCAAAAUAGAAGGUUAG
Long non-coding RNA from Alligator sinensis (Chinese alligator), 611 nucleotides. RefSeq lists it as uncharacterized. Lineage: Eukaryota; Metazoa; Chordata; Crocodylia; Alligatoridae. The transcript has 3 exons. The record is from RefSeq and is a predicted model, not a curated record.